AGUGAACGCUGGCGGUAGGCCUAACACAUGCAAGUCGAACGGCAGCACAGUAAGAGCUUGCUCUUACGGGUGGCGAGUGGCGGACGGGUGAGGAAUACAUCGGAAUCUACUUUUUCGUGGGGGAUAACGUAGGGAAACUUACGCUAAUACCGCAUACGACCUACGGGUGAAAGCAGGGGAUCUUCGGACCUUGCGCGAUUGAAUGAGCCGAUGUAGGAUUAGCUAGUUGGCGGGGUAAAGGCCCACCAAGGCGACGAUCCGUAGCUGGUCUGAGAGGAUGAUCAGCCACCCUGGAACUGAGACACGGACCAGACUCCGACGGUAGGCAGCAGUGGGGAAUAUUGGACAAUGGGGGCAUGCCUGAUCCAGCCAUACCGCGUGGGUGAAGAAGGCCUUCGGGUUGGAGAGCCCUUUUGUUGGGAAAGAAAAGCAGCAGGUUAAUACCCCGCUGUUCUGACGGUACCCAAAGAAUAAGCACCGGCUAACUUCGUG
RNAcentral lists this ribosomal RNA (492 nucleotides) under uncultured bacterium. Its description in RNAcentral is "partial 16S ribosomal RNA". It matches the Rfam family "Bacterial small subunit ribosomal RNA", at positions 29 to 507 of the family's 1533-position model. The record is from RNAcentral.